Epinephelus moara (kelp grouper) is the source of this 1252-nucleotide long non-coding RNA. RefSeq lists it as uncharacterized. The record is from RefSeq and is a predicted model, not a curated record. NCBI's taxonomy places the organism in Eukaryota, Metazoa, Chordata, Actinopteri, Perciformes, Serranidae. The transcript is spliced from 3 exons.
UGUUACUGGCGGCAUGGAUAAAUGAUCAGUCGAUCUGUUCACAGCUGAUCAGAUCAGAUCAGCGGAUAAGAGGAGCAGCUGCUGUGAGUGAAUGCAAACUUUUCGACCCAGCAGAAUCAACGACAUCUGCUGGCACUUUGGGCCGUAACGCUUUUACCAUGUGCCCCUGCAGCAGCAGCACUGCAGACCUGAAAGAAGAAAUCCUUUCCCCUUAGACGAGCCAGAAAACCACCCACUUUGCAGAAUCCACCAUGUAAAUUGCGGUGCGUCAGAUGCAGACGUACGUGGCUUUCAACGGAAGUGGGAGAUGACCCUCUGAUUUGUUGAAUCUAUGUAACAUUCAAAACACACACGCAUUUUGCAAGUGACUAAAUACAACUCUUCCUGUGCCUUACUUUGUGCCCUGAUAAUGCACUGUUGAACGAGCAAAAGUGGAGCUGGACACAGCCUACAUGCACUGCACCAUGCACUAUAAACUACUCUCACUGGCCACUUCAUUAGGUACACCUUGCUAGGACCAGGUUGGCCCCUUUUGCCUUCAGAACCACCUUAAUUCUUGGUGUCAUAGAUUCAACAAGGUGCUGGAAACAUUCCACAGAGAUUUUGGUCCAUAUUGACAUGAUAGCAUCACACAGUUGCUGCAGAUUUGUCAGCUGCACAUCCAUGAUGUGAGUCUCCUGUUCCACCACAUCCCAAAGGUGCUCUAUUGGACUGAGAUCUGGUGACUGUGGAGGCCAUUGGAGUACAGUGACCUCAUUGCCAUGUUCAAGAAACUAGUUUCCAUGCCUUGUGGAAUAUAAUCAGACUACCAUCUGAAUGUGGCAGCAGAAAUCCAGACUCAUCAGACCAGGCAACGUUUUUCCAAUCUUCUAUUGUCCAGUUUUGGUGAGCCUGUGUGAACUGUAGCCUCAGUUUCCUGUUAGCUGACAGGAGUGGCACCUGGUGUGGUCUUCUUCUGCUGUAGCCCAUCUGCUUCAAGGUUGGACGUGUUGUUGGUUCAGAGAUGGUCUUCUGCAGACCUUGGUUGUAACCAGUGGUUAUUUGAGUUACUGUUGCCUUUCUAUCAUCUUGAACCAGUCUGGCCAUUCUCCUCUGACCUCUGGCAUCAACAAGGCAUUUUGGCUCACUGGAUAUUUUCUCUUUUUGGGACCAUCCUCUGUAAACCCUAGAGAUGGUUGUGUGUGAAAAUCCCAGUAAAUACUCAGACCAGCCCGUCUGGCACCAACAACCAUGCCACGUUCAAAGUCACUUA